UCGCCGGUAAGAUCGGGGAUCCAAUUUGGGGAGUACUAGUCGAGAUUGUUUGGAUCCAUGUUUGAAGAGUUUUAGUGAGACUCUGAGAGGAUGAACACAAAAAUUGAGAUAAUGUGAGAGAGAGAUGAUGAAUAAAAUUGUGUGUGUGAAUUGUGGUGGAGGAAUAGGAUAUUUAUAGAAGAAAAUUACAANAAAAAAAGAAAAAAAAGGAAAAGGUGCAACGGUCCAAUUGGAUAAAAUAGAAAGAAAAAAAAUUCAAACGGCCGAAUUGAAAGUAAGAAGGAAAAGAAAAAAANAAAGAAAAUAGAGUGAAACGGUCGAAUAACAUUCAAAAU
Molecule: long non-coding RNA, 335 nt
Filed under: Salvia miltiorrhiza (redroot sage)
Lineage: Eukaryota; Viridiplantae; Streptophyta; Magnoliopsida; Lamiales; Lamiaceae
Description: long non-coding RNA (SMIL_LNC004176)
Source: RNAcentral